UCCAAAAAGAAAACAAAAUAAAAUUGAAAGAGGAUUAGGUUAAGAGAUAUGACCUUUGAAGUUCUUUCAACGAGAUCCUUUUCUUCUCCUUCAGCAGCGGCGGCGAGUCUCCUCUCUUCGUCUCCGAUCAACUCUCUCUGCCACCGCGAGUCAAGAACACGAAACCAUCAUCAUCAUGUCUCUCGGCCUCUCUGAUUCGAUCUCCGAUUUCCCUCGCGGUUCAUCGUCUCCUGCGUCUUUGUGUUGUACGUGAUGUGUGGUGAUGAACGUUGAUGAAAGGAGGAGGUGAAACAAGGGUGAAGAAGGAUGAGGCUAUGAUUCUUGCGCUGAAUUCAAGAUGAAGAAGGUUGACGCCUAAGAAUGAAGGUCGAAAUCGCGGUGGAUCCGAAGAUGUUGAUGACGAGAAACUCACGUAUAUUUCCGAAGUUGCAAAGAGCUUCGCGCAAGGCUUCAUGGUAUGCUUAUUCCAAUUGCUGAAAGGGUCGGCUUUAUGAAGGGAUCUCGUUCUGUUUCUCCGCUGAUCAUGGCUCUUUAUGCGGCUCGGUUUUGGCAGCAGGCUUGUAUGCUUCACGGUAUUGGCUUGAAGACACAAUACAUGGUUCAUUGGGCACGGAAAUUAUUCAUGAAGAUGGGAAGAAUUGGAAAGACUACGACGGGAGCUCGAGGAGGAAGAGGCAAUGGGAGACCUUAGUCUUUAGGAUAAGUUCAGGAAUGUAUUUGAAUGAAAUGAUUUGUGUAAUAUUCUUGAUGUCGAUGUAAUGUAAUGCGAUUUUCGAAA
Molecule: long non-coding RNA, 778 nt
Organism: Vicia villosa (hairy vetch)
Lineage: Eukaryota; Viridiplantae; Streptophyta; Magnoliopsida; Fabales; Fabaceae
Exons: 3
Source: RefSeq, a predicted model, not a curated record